RNAcentral lists this transfer RNA (74 nucleotides) under Marmota monax (woodchuck). Its description in RNAcentral is "tRNA.Ala". Lineage: Eukaryota; Metazoa; Chordata; Mammalia; Rodentia; Sciuridae. The record is from RNAcentral.
CUGGCAGUGCAGCUCAGUGGUAGAGCACUUGCCCAGCAUGAGCAAUGCCCUGGGUUUGAUCCCCAGUUGUUGGG